AGUAAGAUGGCUGAGCGUUCAAGCGGCGGGUUGUAGCCCCGUGCAGAGAGGUUUGACUCCUCUUCUUACUA
This 71-nucleotide transfer RNA is filed under the name Trimma caesiura (Caesiura dwarfgoby). RNAcentral describes it as "tRNA-Tyr". It matches the Rfam family "tRNA". Rfam says of the family: Transfer RNA (tRNA) molecules are approximately 80 nucleotides in length. Their secondary structure includes four short double-helical elements and three loops (D, anti-codon, and T loops). The record is from RNAcentral. Lineage: Eukaryota; Metazoa; Chordata; Actinopteri; Gobiiformes; Gobiidae.